Schistocerca cancellata (South American locust) is the source of this 947-nucleotide long non-coding RNA. RefSeq lists it as uncharacterized. The record is from RefSeq and is a predicted model, not a curated record. NCBI's taxonomy places the organism in Eukaryota, Metazoa, Arthropoda, Insecta, Orthoptera, Acrididae. The transcript is spliced from 3 exons.
UUUCAACACUAGCAAACAAGACCACACAACUGUAUGAUGCCUAGCAAAAUGUAAAAUAUAUACCUUUCACUUACUGCAAGUAUUUCACUUUGGCAUAAAUAAAGGUGACAGAGGAACAGGUCAUACUGGGAGCAGUAGGUCUGUGACUUGGAUGGAGCACAGUUACUGAUUUGAUGCCAUUAAGGCACAAAGCUUUGUAAUGAUUAAAAUGGUGAGUGAAUGUAAAUACUGGAAGUGUUAUUUCUUUAUACUAAAACCUGCUACUUUAAGUUAUGUUUCAGAAAUAUCUUGAGCACCUCGACUUGAAAAAUAACAGGAAUACCAUCUAGAAUAUUACAAGUGAGGACAGUCAGUCAAUGAUAAUCCAUGAACUUAGGCUGAAGGAAAAAAAUUCUAUAUAUGUAAUAAAAGUUGAUUGUAAUGUGUGAUGUUGUAGACAUACAAUAAUCUGUUUUGUGCUAUCUUUUACAUAAUGAAUUUGGUGACAACAUGUGGAUCAAAACUGGAAUGAGCAAAGAAUACCAACCAAAUUUAAGACCCAAAAACCAGAAAGAGCCACGACCAGCGGUGGAACACACGCAAGUUUGAAAAAUUUGUUCUAAAUGCACACUAAUAGUGAUUUUUUUUCUUUUUGUUGUUGUUGAUUGUAGAUGUACAUAUAUGUUCCUGUCUCCUGCUAAAAAUGAACCAUCCCAACUAGCAAAUUUUACUUUGUUAUUUAGAACUUUUUUAAUUGCAUUAAUUAAGAGCCACCUGCACUUUGAGAGGACUAAAACUGUUGAGAUUUUAUUAUUCAUUCAAUAACAAGAUUAAUAUGUGGGGUAUGUGAAAUGUGUGUACAUGUUUGUUUUGCUCAUACUUGUACAAAUGUUUCAUGUAACCUGACGAGGCGAACCCAAGAUUCAAGAAGAAGAAGAGGAGGAGGAGGAGGAAGAAGAAGAGGAGGA